Molecule: ribosomal RNA, 110 nt
Filed under: Meloidogyne arenaria
Lineage: Eukaryota; Metazoa; Nematoda; Chromadorea; Rhabditida; Meloidogynidae
Description: partial 5.8S ribosomal RNA
Rfam family: 5.8S ribosomal RNA
About the family: 5.8S ribosomal RNA (5.8S rRNA) is a component of the large subunit of the eukaryotic ribosome. It is transcribed by RNA polymerase I as part of the 45S precursor that also contains 18S and 28S rRNA. Functionally, it is thought that 5.8S rRNA may be involved in ribosome translocation.
Source: RNAcentral
CAGCAAAUGCGAUAAUUUGUGCGAACUGCAGAAACCUUGAGCACAAAAGUUUUGAACGCAUAUUGCCGCAUUGGGGUCAAACCCUUUGCUACGUCUGGUUCAGGGUCAUU